AUUGUAUUUGCCCUUGAAGACACAACUCAAGUUCUUUUUACCCCUGGCAAGCCUUUUACCUGCAAGUCGAGGGGUGAUCAAUGGCACCAAAUAAAUAUGGGAUGGACCAAACCAGGAUUUGAACCUAGGUCCCCUGAAUCACUAGUGUAAGUUUCUUUUUAAAAGGAAUAACAUUUUAAUACACAUAGUAAAUUAGAAUUUCAUUUUUUUCAGGAAAUGGAUAAAAAAUUGGUAUGUGUCGAGCAACUAUAGCCACCUGAUAGAAGGGUAAAUUAGAAAGUUCAGAUUACAUUAUGCCAACAGAGAUGAUAACAAUGCCAACCAAGCUAAAAGUUGUCCAGGAAAACUUUUGUAUUGGAGACAAGACAAGUUAAUGACUUAAUGAUAGACUCACUGCAGAGAGAGAUGUUGGAAAAGUGGAUUUUGUUAACAAAAGGAAGAUAAGAUCAAGGCUGCCAACCUUUGAGAGAUACACUUCAAAAAGAGUGUUUAAAUUCAAGAAAUUCAGUCACAGUACUCUGUAAAUAUUAUAAAGUAAAAGUUAUUUAUUUAAUUUGGAAAAGCAUUUGAGGAUGUGAAAAAGACUUUGUCCAUUUCAAGCUAUCUGUUGUCAAGUACCAGGAAUAUGUGGAUUUUAUUCAACAACUUUAUUAUGAAUUUGAAUAGCAACUUUCAAUAUCUGGAAGCUUUUUUUAUCAGUAGGGAUGUAGAUGUGAAAUUAUAUAAAAGUUAUUUUUUAAAAGAUAUUAAUCAAGAAAAUUUUUGUAGAUUAAUAACAGGUAAAAUUUGUAAUGAUAGAUCUUUUAUUGAUCAUUUGCAGUAGUAAGCGACAGUUGUUAUAAUUAUACCCCCACUCUGAAGUAGGGGGGUAUACUCAUUUACCCUUGUGUGUCUGUCUGUGUGUCUGUCUGUAACAAUUUUUUGUCGCAGUUUUCUCAGCAACUACUCAUCAAAGAUGCUUGAAAUUUUGACACUCUCUUUGACUAGGCAUGCCAUAUUGUGGGAUUCAUGAGAGUGUAUAUUCACAUCAGAGCGGGGGUAUUACUAGUGAGCAUUGGCUCACAGACUUCCUGUUUGCUGAAGUUUGUGUUUGACUUUCAUGUCUUUAACAUGAUAUGGCUUAAGGAUAUGCACAGUAUAGUUUGAACUAUAUUUUCUUAUUCUCUCUAUAAUUUAAGAAAUCCAGUAAUUGAAAGAUCUUUGUGCAAUUUUAUGAUACCUGGUAAUGCUUGCACACCUUAUCUGAAUCAAAUUUUGAGAAAAUACCACAUAAAACAUUUUUUUUGGGGGGGGGGGAUUUUUCUUUUAAAAAAUGCAAGGGUUUUCAUCAUUUGAUAUUUUUUUUAAAUUCCUGAUACAUGUAAUGUAUGCUGAUUUUUUUGUCAAAGAACACCUAAUGGUAUCGUGAUUUUCAAUUAUAUUUUCUCUGAAAAUUAUCAGUUGGAAGGUUCACUGUAAAGUGCAUGUACAUUGCAUAUGACCUUAAAAAUACUGUGGUGGCAAAAGACAAGAAAUUUUUUUUUUUUUUUCAGUUUUGGUACAUGUACUAUAUUAUUAUUUCGUUAACCUGUCAAUUUUAGAUCAAAUGAAUAAAGGUUAAAAACUAUUA
Molecule: long non-coding RNA, 1609 nt
Organism: Saccostrea echinata
Lineage: Eukaryota; Metazoa; Mollusca; Bivalvia; Ostreida; Ostreidae
Exons: 3
Source: RefSeq, a predicted model, not a curated record